CUACGGGUUGCAGCAGUGAGGAAUAUUGCACAAUGGGGGGAACCCUGAUGCAGCAACGCCGCGUGGAGGAUGACGCAUUUCGGUGUGUAAACUCCUUUUAUAUGUCAAGAAAAUGACGGUAGCAUAUGAAUAAGCACCGGCUAACUCCGUGCCAGCAGCCGAGGUAAUACGGAGGGUGCAAGCGUUACUCGGAAUCACUGGGCGUAAAGGACGCGUAGGCGGGUUGGAAAGUCAGGUGUGAAAUCCUACAGCUUAACUGUAGAACUGCACUUGAAACUUCUAAUCUAGAGUAUGGGAGGGGGAGAUGGAAUUAGUGGUGUAGGGGUAAAAUCCGUAGAUAUCACUAGGAAUACCUAAAGCGAAGGCGACCUCCUGGAACAUUACUGACGCUAAGGCGUGAAAGCGUGGGGAGCAAACAGGAUUAGAUACCCUCGUAGUC
RNAcentral lists this ribosomal RNA (439 nucleotides) under uncultured bacterium. RNAcentral's name for it is "partial 16S ribosomal RNA". It matches the Rfam family "Bacterial small subunit ribosomal RNA", at positions 339 to 795 of the family's 1533-position model. The record is from RNAcentral.